RNAcentral lists this ribosomal RNA (761 nucleotides) under uncultured marine archaeon. Its description in RNAcentral is "bacterial SSU rRNA". It matches the Rfam family "Archaeal small subunit ribosomal RNA", at positions 41 to 808 of the family's 1478-position model. The record is from RNAcentral.
AUACUAAGCCAUGCGAGUCAUUGUAGUAAUACAAGGCAGACGGCUCAGUAACGCGUAGUCAACCUAACCUAUGGACGGGAAUAACCUCGGGAAACUGAGUAUAAUGCCCGAUAGAACAUUAUGCCUGGAAUGGUUUAUGUUCCAAAUGAUUUAUCGCCGUAGGAUGGGACUGCGGCCUAUCAGUUUGUUGGUGAGGUAAUGGCCCACCAAGACUAUUACAGGUACGGGCUCUGAGAGGAGUAGCCCGGAGAUGGGUACUGAGACACGGACCCAGGCCCUAUGGGGCGCAGCAGGCGAGAAAACUUUGCAAUGUGCGAAAGCACGACAAGGUUAAUCCGAGUGGUUUCUGCUAAAGGAACCUUUUGUCGGUCCUAGAAACACCGAUGAAUAAGGGGUGGGCAAGUUCUGGUGUCAGCCGCCGCGGUAAAACCAGCACCUCAAGUGGUCAGGAUGAUUAUUGGGCCUAAAGCAUCCGUAGCCGGCUCUGUUAGUUUUCGGUUAAAUCUGUACGCUCAACGUACAGGCUGCCGGGAAUACUGCAGAGCUAGGGAGUGGGAGAGGUAGACGGUACUCGGUAGGAAGGGGUAAAAUCCUUUGAUCUAUUGAUGACCACCUGUGGCGAAGGCGGUCUACCAGAACACGUCCGACGGUGAGGGAUGAAAGCUGGGGGAGCAAACCGGAUUAGAUACCCGGGUAGUCCCAGCUGUAAACUAUGCAAACUCAGUGAUGCAUUGGCUUGUGGCCAAUGCAGUGCUGCAGGG